Molecule: non-coding RNA, 370 nt
Organism: Pelobates cultripes (western spadefoot toad)
Lineage: Eukaryota; Metazoa; Chordata; Amphibia; Anura; Pelobatidae
Source: the annotation of a GenBank genome assembly
CCCUUACUGCCACAGUGUCCCCAGUGUGUUGAUGCUCUGAGACCAAGUUCUUUUGGAGUAGUGUCAUCGUGGCUCCGGUGUCUCUCAGCCCAUUUACUACUCUGCCAUUCAGCUUCACAGUUUGCCGAUGUUGCUGGCGAUUAUCCUGAUGAGCUGCUUGCACUGGGUCUGCCUCGUGUAGGAUGCCCCAGAAUUCCUCCUGCUCUAUGCAGUGAACAGCAGGCUGAGGUGGGCGCUGGUUUCCAUUAACUGGUCUCCUCCAGGACUGAGCCUGGUUGGCACUGUUCAGUGGGCACUCAGGACGCUUGUGCCCCAAUUGCUUGCACCCAAAGCACCGGAUGGGUUGGGAAUACUCACGGGCAUUAAAUCG